GUCUCAAAGACUAAGCCAUGCAUGUCUAAGUAUAAAUGCUUCUAUACUGUGAAACUGCGAAUGGCUCAUUAAAUCAGUUAUAGUUUAUUUGAUGGUUCCUUACUACUUGGAUAACCGUAGUAAUUCUAGAGCUAAUACAUGCAGAAAGUCCCGACUUCUGGAAGGGAUGUAUUUAUUAGAUCCAAAACCGGCGCGAGUCCUCCGGGGCUCGGUUGCUUGGUGAUUCAUGAUAACUUCUCGAACCGUAUGGCCCUUGUGCUGACGGUGCUUCAUUCAAAUUUCUGCCCUAUCAACUUUCGAUGGUACGGUAGUGGCCUACCAUGGUUGCAACGGGUGACGGAGAAUUAGGGUUCGAUUCCGGAGAGGGAGCCUGAGAAACGGCUACCACAUCCAAGGAAGGCAGCAGGCGCGCAAAUUACCCAAUCCCGACUCGGGGAGGUAGUGACAAUAAAUAACAAUGCCGGGCUAUCAUAGUCUGGCAAUUGGAAUGAGUACAAUCUAAACCCCUUAACGAGGAACAAUUGGAGGGCAAGUCUGGUGCCAGCAGCCGCGGUAAUUCCAGCUCCAAUAGCGUAUAUUAAAGUUGUUGCAGUUAAAAAGCUCGUAGUUGGAUUUCGGGGCAGCCUGGCUGGUCCGCCGCAAGGUGUGUACUGGUCAGCCGCCCUUCCUCUCGAAAGCCCCGACUGCUCUUCAUUGCAGUGGUCGGGUAGUUCGGGACGUUUACUUUGAAAAAAUUAGAGUGUUCAAGGCAGGCUCUCGCCUGAAUACAUUAGCAUGGAAUAAUGGAAGAGGACCUCGGUCCUAUUUUGUUGGUUUCUAGGGCCGAAGUAAUGAUUAAGAGGGACAGUUGGGGGCAUUCGUAUUUAAUUGUCAGAGGUGAAAUUCUCGGAUUUAUGAAAGACGAACAACUGCGAAAGCAUUUGCCAAGGAUGUUUUCAUUAAUCAAGAACGAAAGUUAGGGGUUCGAAGACGAUCAGAUACCGUCGUAGUCCUAACCAUAAACUAUGCCGACUAGGGAUCGGUGGAUGUUAAUGUUUGACUCCAUCGGCACCUUAUGAGAAAUCAAAGUCUUUGGGUUCCGGGGGGAGUAUGGUCGCAAGGCUGAAACUUAAAGGAAUUGACGGAAGGGCACCACCAGGAGUGGAGCCUGCGGCUUAAUUUGACUCAACACGGGGAAACUCACCAGGUCCAGACAUAGUAAGGAUUGACAGAUUGAGAGCUCUUUCUUGAUUCUAUGGGUGGUGGUGCAUGGCCGUUCUUA
This 1261-nucleotide ribosomal RNA is filed under the name Adreus fascicularis. RNAcentral describes it as "SSU rRNA". It matches the Rfam family "Eukaryotic small subunit ribosomal RNA", at positions 34 to 1296 of the family's 1831-position model. The record is from RNAcentral. Lineage: Eukaryota; Metazoa; Porifera; Demospongiae; Tethyida; Hemiasterellidae.